CCAGCUCCUACGGGAGGCAGCAGUGGGGAAUAUUGCACAAUGGGGGAAACCCUGAUGCAGCGACGCCGCGUGAGUGAAGAAGUAUUUCGGUAUGUAAAGCUCUAUCAGCAGGAAAGAAAAUGACGGUACCUGACUAAGAAGCCCCGGCUAACUACGUGCCAGCAGCCGCGGUAAUACGUAGGGGGCAAGCGUUAUCCGGAUUUACUGGGUGUAAAGGGGGCGCAGACGGCGAUGCAAGCCAGGAGUGAAAGCCCGGGGCCCAACCCCGGGACUGCUCUUGGAACUGCGUGGCUGGAGUGCAGGAGGGGCAGGCGGAAUUCCUGGUGUAGCGGUGAAAUGCGUAGAUAUUAGGAAGAACACCAGUGGCGAAGGCGGCUUUCUGGACUGAAACUGACGCUGAGGCACGAAAGCGUGGGGAGCGAACAGGAUUAGAUACCCCAGUA
This 443-nucleotide ribosomal RNA is filed under the name uncultured bacterium. RNAcentral's name for it is "bacterial SSU rRNA". It matches the Rfam family "Bacterial small subunit ribosomal RNA", at positions 332 to 792 of the family's 1533-position model. The record is from RNAcentral.